Molecule: ribosomal RNA, 505 nt
Filed under: uncultured bacterium
Lineage: Bacteria
Description: bacterial SSU rRNA
Rfam family: Bacterial small subunit ribosomal RNA
Source: RNAcentral
AACGAACGCUGGCGGCAUGCCUAACACAUGCAAGUCGAACGCUUUUGGGGCUUCGGCCCCAAGGGAGUGGCGCACGGGUGAGUAGCGCGUGGGAACCUGCCCUGUUGUGGGGGAUAACCGAGGGAAACUUCGGCUAAUACCGCAUGCGCCCGGAGCGAUCUUCGGAUCGAACCGGGGAAAGAUUUAUCGCAGCAGGAGGGGCCCGCGUCCGAUUAGCUAGUUGGCGGGGUAACGGCCCACCAAGGCACCGAUCGGUAGCUGGUCUGAGAGGAUGAUCAGCCACACUGGGACUGAGACACGGCCCAGACUCCUACGGGAGGCAGCAGUGGGGAAUAUUGGACAAUGGGCGCAAGCCUGAUGCAGCCAUGCCGCGUGUAUGAAGAAGGCCUUCGGGUUGUAAAGUACUUUCAGCGGGGAGGAAGGGAGUAAAGUUAAUACCUUUGCUCAUUGACGUUACCCGCAGAAGAAGCACCGGCUAACUCCGUGCCAGCAGCCGCCGUAACAC